RNAcentral lists this unclassified non-coding RNA (294 nucleotides) under Hevea brasiliensis (rubber tree). The record is from RNAcentral. Lineage: Eukaryota; Viridiplantae; Streptophyta; Magnoliopsida; Malpighiales; Euphorbiaceae.
UUUUAACACUUCUGUUUACAGUGAGAGAUUUUAUCAGUUUUAUUUGAAUCUAAUUAUUUUUUUUAAACAAAAAAUUUAACAUUUUUCAUGAGGUGAUUAGGAGACAGAAAAAGGAAUUAUAUGUCGUUUGUGAUCAGAGGUGUAAUUGAUCUGGCUUAGAGCUUCUGAAGAACUUUGCUUUUUUCUUUUUCACAUUCACUGUUGUCUUGGUUCAAUUUUGUAGGCAAGAAAAGUGUCUCUUACCUUCUUCCAUCAUUUUUUUGACCAAAAAGGAGGACUUGUUUUGGAGUGGAG